Molecule: small nuclear RNA, 96 nt
Organism: Callithrix jacchus (white-tufted-ear marmoset)
Lineage: Eukaryota; Metazoa; Chordata; Mammalia; Primates; Cebidae
Source: Ensembl
CUGCUUCUGCAGCACAUAUGCUAAAAUUGGAAUGACACAGAGAUUAGCAUGACCCCUGCACAAAGACGACACACAAUUACAGCAUUCCAUAUUAAU